CAGAGUUGCAAAACUCCCAACCAUUGUGAACUUACCUCACCGUUGCUUCGGCGGGUAGCCAGGGGCAACCCAGGCCACGCCGGCACCCCCCUUCGGGGCCCGGCAAACCCGUCAGAAGACCGAAACUCUUCGUCAUCAGUGGCCUCUCUGAGUAACUUAUACAAUAAGUCA
RNAcentral lists this unclassified non-coding RNA (171 nucleotides) under uncultured Sordariomycetes. Its description in RNAcentral is "sequence contains ITS1". Lineage: Eukaryota; Fungi; Ascomycota; Sordariomycetes. The record is from RNAcentral.